GUGCCAGCCGCCGCGGUAAUACGGAAGGUCCGGGCGUUAUCCGGAUUUAUUGGGUUUAAAGGGAGCGCAGGCUGAUGAUUAAGCGUGACGUGAAAUGUAGCCGCUCAACGGCUGAGUUGCGUCGCGAACUGGUUAUCUUGAGUGAGUACGACGUCGGCGGAAUUCGUGGUGUAGCGGUGAAAUGCUUAGAUAUCACGAAGAACCCCGAUUGCGAAGGCAGCUGACGAGUCCUUAACUGACGCUAAAGCUCGAAGGUGCGGGUAUCGAACAGGAUUAGAUACCCUGGUAGUCCGCACGGUAAACGAUGGAUGCCCGCUGUUGGCGAUAUACCGCCAGUGGCCAAGCGAAAGCGUUAAGCAUCCCACCUGGGGAGUACGCCGGCAACGGUGAAACUCAAAGGAAUUGACGGGGGCCCGCACAAGCGGAGGAACAUGUGGUUUAAUUCGAUGAUACGCGAGGAACCUUACCCGGGCUUGAACUGCAGCAGAACGAUCCAGAGAUGGUGAGGCCCUUCGGGGCUGCUGUGGAGGUGCUGCAUGGUUGUCGUCAGCUCGUGCCGUGAGGUGUCGGCUUAAGUGCCAUAACGAGCGCAACCCCUUUCGCCAGUUGCCAUCAGGUGAUGCUGGGCACUCCGGCGACACUGCCACCGUAAGGUGAGAGGAAGGUGGGGAUGACGUCAAAUCAGCACGGCCCUUACGUCCGGGGCUACACACGUGUUACAAUGGGGAGUACAGAGAGUCAGGUGCCGGCAACGUCGCCUCAAUCAUGAAAGCUCUCCUCAGUUCGGAUUGGGGUCUGCAACCCGACCCCAUGAAGCUGGAUUCGCUAGUAAUCGCGCAUCAGCCAUGGCGCGGUGAAUACGUUCCCGGGCCUUGUACACACCGCCCGU
RNAcentral lists this ribosomal RNA (889 nucleotides) under uncultured bacterium. RNAcentral describes it as "bacterial SSU rRNA". It matches the Rfam family "Bacterial small subunit ribosomal RNA", at positions 505 to 1397 of the family's 1533-position model. The record is from RNAcentral.